UGGGGAAUAUUGGACAAUGGGGGGAACCCUGAUCCAGCCAUGCCGUGUGUGAAGAAGGCCUUAUGGUUGUAAAGCACUUUAAGCGAGGAGGAGGGUACUGGUAUUAAUACUACCAGGUACUGGACGUUACUCGCAGAAUAAGCACCGGCUAACUCUGUGCCAGCAGCCGCGGUAAUACAGAGGGUGCGAGCGUUAAUCGGAUUUACUGGGCGUAAAGCGUGCGUAGGCGGCUAAUUGAGUCGGAUGUGAAAUCCCCGAGCUUAACUUGGGAAUUGCAUUCGAUACUGGUUAGCUAGAGUGUGGGAGAGGAUGGUAGAAUUCCAGGUGUAGCGGUGAAAUGCGUAGAGAUCUGGAGGAAUACCGAUGGCGAAGGCAGCCAUCUGGCCUAACACUGACGCUGAGGUACGAAAGCAUGGGGAGCAAACAGG
This 428-nucleotide ribosomal RNA is filed under the name Pseudomonadota bacterium. RNAcentral describes it as "Proteobacteria bacterium partial 16S ribosomal RNA". It matches the Rfam family "Bacterial small subunit ribosomal RNA", at positions 355 to 776 of the family's 1533-position model. Lineage: Bacteria; Pseudomonadati; Pseudomonadota. The record is from RNAcentral.